GUUCUUCCUUGGGCGUCCAACACCCCGCUUCAGUGGAGAUGCAGGCGGCGGAGCAACGGGAGAGGCAGCAGCAGCAGCAUUCUUGCGCGGCCUCCCAGGUCCCCGCUUAACUCCCAGGCUCAACGGCGUAGCAGUGGCAUUCUUGCGCGGUCUCCCAGGUCCCCGCUUCGCUCCCAGUCUCAACGGGGUAGCAGCAGCAUUCUUGCGCGGCCUCCCAGGUCCCCGCUUCACUCCCAGUCUCAACGGGGUAGCAGCAGCAUUCUUGCGCGGCCUCCCAGGUCCCCGCUUCACUCUCAGGCUCAACGCCGUAGCAGCAGCAGCAGCAGAGGAGGUGGAGGAAGCCACAGGGAGAGGGUUCUUCCGGGGUCGCCCGCGCCCAGGCUUCGCCUCAAGCACAGGAACCGGAAACAGGGC
This 414-nucleotide long non-coding RNA is filed under the name Oryza sativa (Asian cultivated rice). RNAcentral's name for it is "long non-coding RNA (OSAT_LNC001060)". Lineage: Eukaryota; Viridiplantae; Streptophyta; Magnoliopsida; Poales; Poaceae. The record is from RNAcentral.